UGGGGAAUUUUGCGCAAUGGGGGAAACCCUGACGCAGCAACGCCGCGUGGAGGAUGAAGUACUUCGGUACGUAAACUCCUUUCGAUCGGGACGAUUAUGACGGUACCGAGAGAAGAAGCCCCGGCUAACUUCGUGCCAGCAGCCGCGGUAAUACGAGGGGGGCGAGCGUUGUUCGGAAUUAUUGGGCGUAAAGGGUGCGUAGGCGGUUUGGUAAGUCUGAUGUGAAAUCUAUGGGCUCAACUCAUAGUCUGCAUCGGAAACUGCCGGGCUUGAGUGUGGGAGAGGUGAGUGGAAUUUCCGGUGUAGCGGUGAAAUGCGUAGAUAUCGGAAGGAACACCUGUGGCGAAAGCGGCUCACUGGACCACAACUGACGCUGAUGCACGAAAGCUAGGGGAGCAAACAGGAUUAGAUACCCCCGUAGUCC
Molecule: ribosomal RNA, 424 nt
Filed under: uncultured bacterium
Lineage: Bacteria
Description: bacterial SSU rRNA
Rfam family: Bacterial small subunit ribosomal RNA
Source: RNAcentral